AGCGGGGUGGGGAAGCCUGGUCAUCCCGUUGGGCUCAUAACCCAAAGAUCGAAAGUUCAAGUCUUUCCCCCGCUA
RNAcentral lists this transfer RNA (75 nucleotides) under Candidatus Thorarchaeota archaeon. RNAcentral's name for it is "tRNA-Met". It matches the Rfam family "tRNA". From Rfam's summary of the family: Transfer RNA (tRNA) molecules are approximately 80 nucleotides in length. RNAcentral also lists the same sequence under 1 other name. Lineage: Archaea; Promethearchaeati; Candidatus Thorarchaeota. The record is from RNAcentral.